UAAACGGCCCUUCUCAGGGCCCCCCUAUUUUGGAAACGGAGGUGUUU
Non-coding RNA from Ixodes scapularis (black-legged tick), 47 nucleotides. Lineage: Eukaryota; Metazoa; Arthropoda; Arachnida; Ixodida; Ixodidae. The record is from Rfam.